RNAcentral lists this ribosomal RNA (463 nucleotides) under uncultured bacterium. RNAcentral describes it as "partial 16S ribosomal RNA". It matches the Rfam family "Bacterial small subunit ribosomal RNA", at positions 28 to 507 of the family's 1533-position model. The record is from RNAcentral.
GACGAACGCUGGCGGCGCGCCUAACACAUGCAAGUCGAACGGUGAAGAGGAGCUUGCUCCUCGGAACAGUGGCGGACGGGUGAGUAACACGUGAGCAACCUGGCCCUAAGAGGGGGACAACAGUUGGAAAAGACUGCUAAUACAGCAUGACGGAUCGGGAUGGCAUCUUCCUGAUACCAAAGAUUUUAUCGCUUAGAGAUGGGCUCGCGUCUGAUUAGAUAGUUGGCGGGGUAACGGCCCACCAAGGCGACGAUCAGUAGCCGGACUGAGAGGUUGAACGGCCACAUUGGGACUGCGGCACGGCCCAGACUGCUACGGGAGGGAGCAGUGGGGGAUAUUGGACGAUGGGGGCAACCCUGAUCCAGCGACGCCGCGUGAGAGAAGAAGGUUUUCGGAUUGUAAUCCUCUGUUGACGGAGAAAAAAAUGAUGGUAUCCGUUUAGAAAGCCACGGCUAACUACGUG